UCAGUUUUGCCAUCACAGUAAAGGUUUAGGGAGUGUGUAGAAGCACAGCUCCAGGUGACAUAGACAAGAAGCCUUCUGAAACAUGUCUGUACCUUGGUUUUUAGCUUUCUUUUAAGUAUUUUUAAAAAUGAUCUCUGUCUGGUAUUGUAUCAUGUACAAGUAAUUUGACCUUCUCAGGUGGGUUGUGUUGGCUGUGCUUGAUGGUGCCUGGCUAAAUUCCUACUUGAUCCAGAUGUGAGGCUGGCUGUAUCAAAGCAGAACAAUAAAUAAUACCUAUCUUUAGGUUAAAACUGGAGACAUGCCUGUGGCUGAGGACUGGUGGCUGGAGUUGUGACAGCAGACAAAACGAGAGGUAACCCCAUAAGCUCCUGACUAAAACACUGCAGGAAUGUAGAAAAAAAUCAGUGACCAGAUCUGUUCCAAGUCAGUGCUGUGUGAAGAAGUGUUAGGAAUUGCUCUUCUGUAGUGAUAAACUACUUGCUGUAAAUUUCUGGCUAUUGCAAAUCUGGCUCUUGGAGGUGAGGUGAUAUUCAGUGAGCCAACAAGUGACCAUGGCACAAGGUUAGCAGAUAACUGUUACCCUUUAUGAUGGGAUAGCCCUGAAGAAAAGUUAUUAUUUGCCCAUUGGGCUUUUUAGCUGCACAAGGUGCUAUCAGUAGUGUACUCUUGCAUGUAUGGAGGAUAAUGCAUUAACUUGUCCAGAUUUUGAUCAUUAAUGUUUUGAAGUCUUCUAAAGAGAUUGUUCAGAGAUGUUGUGGGUGCCCCUCCCUGGAAGUGUUUAAGAACAGGUUGGAGGGGGCUUAAAGCAACCUUAGACAGUAGAAGAUAUCCCUGUCCAUGGCAGGGGGUUGGAACUGGAUGGUGUUAAAGGUCUCUUUCAACCCAAACCGUUCCUGAUUCUAUGAAUACAGGAGAGCAGAAGUUGCCGCCUGCACCUGGAGGAAGGGCACCAACCCCACAGGCGUGACUGACUCAUCCCUGUGGACUCCUGGCAGAGGUGGCAAUCUGGCAGAUUAGUGGGCGUGUGUGUAAGUGUUUUGUCAUUUUGCAGUGCAAUACCUUUAUCUGCAGGUUCCUCAGCCUUAAUCCAGUCAGGCAAGAAAAUAAGUAGCUGCUGCCCAACAUUAUAUCUUCAUGGGAAAACUCCAAAUGAGCCAGAGCAGCCAGGCAGAGCUGGGUAAGACUGAGAGAGACUGGGGCAGGAUGGCAGCAGAUGAGUGGUUAGAGGGUCACCUCUGAGACCUUGGGAAUCCCUGGCUGGGUUACCUUUGCUCGCAGUAUUCCCCAGACUUCUGAAAAUGGUGAGUACUUCCACAGAACGUCAUUGUUCCAGAGCUGCUGGAGAAUUAUCACUGGUCUGUAAAAUUGCUUCAUUCAUAAUCUAAAAUGCAUUUAAUUGCUAAGGCUGUCUUUACUUUGCACUUCUUUCCUUAGUUAGAUAUUUUAAUUAACCUUUGUUUUUUUUCUUGUUUUGUAAUUGGUUUCUAAUCAGUGUUGUCACUUUUAAGAAAAUUUGGAGUUUUCUUAUGGCUAUAUAUAAAGAUUACUCUUAGAACCUGCUUCACUUAAAGCUACUUUCCAACUAUGAUUCCUUUAAAAAUACAACUGACACUUUCCUAAGAAUUAAGAGCUUUACUUUUUAUCCUUGGAUGACCAUGUGAACACUAAAACCUCCU
Taeniopygia guttata (zebra finch) is the source of this 1676-nucleotide long non-coding RNA. NCBI's taxonomy places the organism in Eukaryota, Metazoa, Chordata, Aves, Passeriformes, Estrildidae. The record is from Ensembl.